UAGACUCAUCAAGUGCUUAGGCCAGGAAACUUACAGAAGGGAAGGAGUAGUUCUAAAUGCUGGGAUCUGGAAAAGUACUUUGGAAUUGGUGCCAUCUGAGGUGAAGCUGGAAGGAAGGAAAUCAUUGGGACAAGUGGAAAAUCCAUUGGAAUACACAUAUAUAUAGUAAACAGAACAAGCUCCUUUUCAAAAAGCAGUCCCUCAGUGAGCUCAUCUGCUCUCAGGAAUUCAUCCAUUGCUGCUGUGCGGAUGCUUCAAAGUCUAACCACAUGAACCAUCAGUUACCAGCCAUCUACUACCUGAUGAAAGGGAGCAAAAGCGAACACAGGGUGAUUGCUCUUAUGUGUGUCUUCAGAACAAUAAGUUCAAAGAUAAAAAUUUUAUCUUUCUGACCAACAAGAUGGGCUGAACAUCCCAAAGCCUCAUUCUGUCAGUAGAGACAAGAUUUAAAUGGAGGUAACACCCACUAAAGAGCCAUAUACUGAAAAUGGACAAGGGCUAGAAAAAAUAAAAAACAAAAAACCUGCCUUCCUGGUGAUACAUUGCAUCACUCUUGGCACCAAACAUUUUAGGAAUACUUAGUUAUCUUCUAUUGUUUUACAUUUGUAUGUCCGUGAUUUGACAAAUAUUUAUUGAACACUUACUCUGGGCCAGGUAGUAGUCUAGAUGCAGGCAGGCAGCAGUGAAUGUGAAAGACCUUAGAGAGCUUUACGAAUUUAGAGAGAAAAUGCUAACAAUAAACACAAAAAAUAUAAGAUAAAUUAGAGCUAUAUAGGAAGUUAAAAAUAGACUAACGUGAUAGAGCAAUGGGUGGAGGCUGCUCUAGUAAAGGUCGUUGGAGAAUGCCUCUCUUAGGGGAUACUAUUUGAACGGACACCUGAGUAAUGAAGACGCAGAGAUGCAAAGAUUUAGGAAAAGUAUGUUUCAACCCAAAGUGAGAACAUAAGGCUCUGAGAGGUGGGCAAGCUUAGCAUGUCUGAAGAAUGAAAUAAAAGCCAGCGUGUCUGGACAGAGGUGAAUGAGAGGAAAAGCCAGAGAUGAGGCAGCAGAACAAGGCAGAUCUCAGCUCCUGUGGAAUCUGUAGGCUGGGGUUUCUCAUCCUCGGCACUAGUGACAUCUCAUUCUCUGUUGCGGGGGGAUAUUCUGUGCAGUAUAAGAUGUUCAGCAGCAUUCCUGGACUCUACUCACUAGAGGCCAGUAGGUUCUCCCUAGUAGUGACAAGCAAAAUUGUCUUCAGAAGACAUUGCCAAGUGUCCCUGGAGGGGUGGGGGGGGGGCGGUAAAAUAGCCCCCAGUUGAGAACCAC
RNAcentral lists this long non-coding RNA (1305 nucleotides) under Homo sapiens (human). Its description in RNAcentral is "HSALNT0321684". The record is from RNAcentral. Lineage: Eukaryota; Metazoa; Chordata; Mammalia; Primates; Hominidae.